RNAcentral lists this ribosomal RNA (254 nucleotides) under uncultured bacterium. Its description in RNAcentral is "partial 16S ribosomal RNA". It matches the Rfam family "Bacterial small subunit ribosomal RNA", at positions 524 to 776 of the family's 1533-position model. The record is from RNAcentral.
UACGAAGGGUGCAAACGUUGCUCGGAAUUAUUGGGCGUAAAGCGCACGUAGGCGGUUCGUUAUGUCGGAUGUGAAAGCCCUUGGCUUAACCGAGGAAGUGCAUCCGAAACUGGCGAGCUAGAGUACUAAAGAGGAUCGCGGAAUUCCCGGUGUAGAGGUGAAAUUCGUAGAUAUCGGGAGGAACACCGGGUGGCGAAGGCGGCGAUCUGGGUCGAUACUGACGCUGAGGUGCGAAAGCGUGGGGAGCAAACAGG